UAUAGGUCAGUGGUAGAGCACUUGCCUAGCAUGCACGAAGCCCUGGGUUCAAGUCCCAGUA
Molecule: transfer RNA, 61 nt
Filed under: Ictidomys tridecemlineatus (thirteen-lined ground squirrel)
Lineage: Eukaryota; Metazoa; Chordata; Mammalia; Rodentia; Sciuridae
Description: Spermophilus tridecemlineatus (thirteen-lined ground squirrel) tRNA
Rfam family: tRNA
About the family: Transfer RNA (tRNA) molecules are approximately 80 nucleotides in length. Their secondary structure includes four short double-helical elements and three loops (D, anti-codon, and T loops). Further hydrogen bonds mediate the characteristic L-shaped molecular structure. tRNAs have two regions of fundamental functional importance: the anti-codon, which is responsible for specific mRNA codon recognition, and the 3' end, to which the tRNAs corresponding amino acid is attached (by aminoacyl-tRNA synthetases). tRNAs cope with the degeneracy of the genetic code in two manners: having more than one tRNA (with a specific anti-codon) for a particular amino acid; and 'wobble' base-pairing, i.e. permitting non-standard base-pairing at the 3rd anti-codon position.
Source: Rfam by way of RNAcentral